AUGUUGGUGGUAGAGUGGUGAACGUAACUGCCUUCCAAGCAGUUGACCUGGGUUUGAUUCCCAGCCAACACA
This is a non-coding RNA of Onychomys torridus (southern grasshopper mouse), 72 nucleotides long. Lineage: Eukaryota; Metazoa; Chordata; Mammalia; Rodentia; Cricetidae. The record is from the annotation of a RefSeq genome assembly.